GGAGGAUGCAAGCGUUAUCCGGAAUGAUUGGGCGUAAAGCGUCCGCAGGUGGCUGUGUAAGUCUGCUGUUAAAGAGUGAGGCUCAACCUCAUAAGAGCAGUGGAAACUACAUAGCUAGAGUGCGUUCGGGGCAGAGGGAAUUCCUGGUGUAGCGGUGAAAUGCGUAGAUAUCAGGAAGAACACCGGUGGCGAAAGCGCUCUGCUAGGCCGCAACUGACACUGAGGGACGAAAGCUAGGGGAGCGAAUGGG
This 250-nucleotide ribosomal RNA is filed under the name uncultured bacterium. RNAcentral describes it as "partial 16S ribosomal RNA". It matches the Rfam family "Bacterial small subunit ribosomal RNA", at positions 527 to 776 of the family's 1533-position model. The record is from RNAcentral.